UCCAUAUUUGGGCGCUCGGGUGACAUCUGAGAGCCUGUGUGUUCCAUAAAUGCUCUCAUGCAGCCUUUGCAAUGCAAUGGAAGGCUUUGCAAUGCAGAAUGGCAACAUUCAUCUUUCCCAGGAAUAGAGAUAAAUUGAACUGCCCUUAUGAAAAAGCACUGCAUAAAAUGCUCAAAUUUAUUGUCCUUUAAAACUUUUAACUGUUAUGGAGAGAGGUGGCUGGAAAAAUGGAGAGGCUGACAAAUUGGGAGAUGGAUCCCUUUUUUACAGAGAUGAAAAACAGUGGAAAACCCUCUGCCUGUGUUGGACUAGAGCCUGGGAGAGCUGUGUUCAAAUUCCCACUCAACCAUGAAAUUCACUUGCCAAUCUCAGG
Molecule: non-coding RNA, 373 nt
Organism: Podarcis muralis (Common wall lizard)
Lineage: Eukaryota; Metazoa; Chordata; Lepidosauria; Squamata; Lacertidae
Source: RefSeq, a predicted model, not a curated record